AUUUGGUGCUAAGGGCACUUGACGCAUAACUUUUUGAAUCGCUCCCAAUAAUCAUAUAGUGACUCUCCUGGAUGCUGCGUGAUACCGCAAAUUUCUUUUCUUAGACU
This is a small nucleolar RNA of Coffea eugenioides, 107 nucleotides long. NCBI's taxonomy places the organism in Eukaryota, Viridiplantae, Streptophyta, Magnoliopsida, Gentianales, Rubiaceae. The record is from RefSeq and is a predicted model, not a curated record.